UUGGGUGGCAGGAAAGUCCUCUGUGCGCCAGAGGAGCAGCCAGCAUUGAGCACGCUCUGCAGACGCCCAGGCGCAGAGGGACCGGUGGCAGUGUUCCAGGAAGGCCCCACGGCCGUGCACAGGGAAGCUCAGGGGCUGCCAGCCCAGGGUCUGAGCCACGUCCACAGGCCUUCCCACUCCAGACACUCAUAAUAUUCUUCCAUUUAAAAAGGAAGGAAGUUCUGACACCGGCUACAACACGGACGAUCCUUGAGGACACUAUGCUCGGUGAGACAUGAUGCCUGGAGCUGUAGCAGCUGGAUUGUGACCAUGAGGCAUCAACCCUGAGAAGGCCAAGAGGGACCAAAGCUUCCACCUUGACAACAUCAAGCCUCUGGGCAAAGCAGCAGCUACCCAGAUCCUUGACAGCCGGUGCAGGCUGUGGGGUAGAGAGGGACCACGUGUCUGGGCGAUGAUGGACGGAGAGCUGGGCUCGGCGUGAGGACCCCCUCGUGGUGUGUGGCCCUGAGCGGAACAUCCCUCCGUGACAUGGAGCUAGAGGGAAGCCCCGUGUGGCCAUUCACACGGUGCCCACAGGACACAGCAGCAGCCGCCGUGCCGAGUCGCACCGCCAGCCCCGCUCCUGUGGCUGUGUGGUGUUCUGUCAUGGAGAUGCCGUGGUCCGUCCCCUCCGGGGCAUAAGCUGAAGUUGCCCACAAUUUGUCUUGCUUCGUAUAACACUGAGGCGAUUGUGCAUGAAGCUCCCCAGAUGGAGCAAGACCAUCCCGGUGGCAGCAUUGUCGGCCGGAGGGUGUAGAUAUUUUACCGCCCUCGAUACAAUCUGCGGAAUUGCUGCGCAGAAGAGUAGCUGUGGUUGCAGGUGUUUGUCCUGCGGCAACUGUACAUGUCCGGAUACUCUCAGGUUUAAAAAGAAAGAAAGGUUUUAUUUAUUCCACAGGAAGUGAAAAAUUGUGGACCAUGGUUUCAAUAUGUAUGUCUUUAGUUCUGAAGUUAUUAAAAAAAAAUACGUAGUAGCCGUUUCUAGCGUUUUUGGUUCACUGUGGCAGAGACAGUGCUCAGAAGUUAUCCAGUUAUUUUCUUGGCCCCGAGUCUGGGUGCUAUCACGUGACUAAUUCUCACCCCUGGACGUGAGGGGCAGUGACCCCCUACUGGACUGAAACACCCUGGGUCCCUGGCACCUCGGGGUGACAACAAGUUGUCACAACAACAUCCUACCCCCCUCAGACGAGCACGAGUGAGAAACAGACCUGACUGUGUUGGGCGUGGAGACACUGGGGUCAUUGAUGCCACCACUGAGCUUGGCCUCAUGACCAGAACACUCAUUGUUUUAGUCAUCACUGUGUACCAAAUUACCCUAAAAGUUAGUGGCUUAAAAAAGCCAUAAUCAUUUAGUGUCUCUAACAGUUCCCAUGGCUCCAGAAUUCAGGAGCAACUCUGCAGGGUCUCAUGAGGCUGCAGUCAGACGUCGCUGGGGCUGCGGUCUCUCCUGAAGCCUUGACUGGGGCUGGGAGCCACUUCCAAGUCAUUCGCUCCCUCGUUGCAAGUUGGUGCCACUGUUGGCCGGGGGCCCAGCUCUGCCCCCACGGGGCUUCCACGGCGCAGCCUGAGCGUCCUCGGGAUGCAGCAGAGGGCUCCCUGGAGCGAGUGACCCAGGAGAGAAGGCGGAAGUCACAAUGCCCUUUAUGACCAGCCUCAGAAGUCAUGCCAUCACCUCUACUGUACUUUAUUUGCCACCCAGACCAGCCCUGAUCUACCGUGAGGGGAGACCACCCAAGGGUGUGACUACGAACGCAAGGAUCUUGGGGGUCUUGAGGCUGGCUAUCCACUCACUGAAUCCACUUUCAGAAAUUUAUUCUUUAAAAAAUCACAGAUGCUUGCAAAGAUUUAGCUACCAGGAGAGGAUGUUCGUUGUAGUAUCGCUUUUAGAUGGUAAAAAAGGAAAACAUCUAUGUCUGUCUGGUGGAAUAAGUCAUGACGUGACCAUGCGCAGUCGUGCGUUGCACAGCGUGGAAGGAUGUGUUGAUCACACACCAGGUGACAAAAUGGCACAAGGAGAAUGAUUCUGCUGUGUAAAGAUCGCGUCUUUAUUCAACAGAAGCAUAGAAAAGGUGUGGAAGGCUGUGUACCUGUGGCAGCCUGGCGGGGGUCCACCCGCCUCCCCUUGCGCUGUGGGUGAAGGACACUCUCCCGCCACAUCUGUCGACCUUGGGCUGGGCCUAGUGACUUGCUUUGUGCCGUGGGACGUGGCAGCAGCAGGGUGCCAGUUCCGAGCCUGGACCUUCAGAGGACUGGCUUGCGUGCUCGCUUCUCUGAGAGCUCCAGACCCCGACAGGAGGAGCACCCUGAGGAGCGGGGUUCCCGGGAGAACGGGAGACCCGGGCAGCAGACAUGCACGGAACCUCGGCCGAGCCCCUGCCGACCCACAGCGCACGAGCAGGACCAGCUGCACGCUUGGGCACCGCCAAGCAGUCACGGUGGCCGUGACCAAGGACACAACAUCCGACUAGGAAAAGCCAUCGAAAGAGUCACUUCCUCCUUUCCUCCCAACUUCACUUUCUAAAUUGCCUACAGUGAAGACAUUUUUAUUAUAAUAAAACUUUAUUUAAGCAAGUUUUA
Molecule: long non-coding RNA, 2616 nt
Organism: Equus caballus (horse)
Lineage: Eukaryota; Metazoa; Chordata; Mammalia; Perissodactyla; Equidae
Source: RefSeq, a predicted model, not a curated record